RNAcentral lists this ribosomal RNA (468 nucleotides) under uncultured bacterium. RNAcentral describes it as "partial 16S ribosomal RNA". It matches the Rfam family "Bacterial small subunit ribosomal RNA", at positions 28 to 507 of the family's 1533-position model. The record is from RNAcentral.
GACGAACGCUGGCGGCGUGCUUAACACAUGCAAGUCGAACGGAAAGGCCCUGCUUUUGUGGGGUGCUCGAGUGGCGAACGGGUGAGUAACACGUGAGUAACCUGCCCUUGACUUUGGGAUAACUUCAGGAAACUGGGGCUAAUACCGGAUAGGAGCUCCUGCUGCAUGGUGGGGGUUGGAAAGUUUCGGCGGUUGGGGAUGGACUCGCGGCUUAUCAGCUUGUCGGUGGGGUAGUGGCUUACCAAGGCUUUGACGGGUAGCCGGCCUGAGAGGGUGACCGGCCACAUUGGGACUGAGAUACGGCCCAGACUCCUACGGGAGGCAGCAGUGGGGAAUAUUGCACAAUGGGCGGAAGCCUGAUGCGGCAACGCCGCGUGCGGGAUGACGGCCUUCGGGUUGUAAACCGCUUUCGCCUGUGACGAAGCGUGAGUGACGGUAAUGGGUAAAGAAGCACCGGCUAACUACGUG